GAGACUGCUGGGGCUGGUGCUGGCAGAGUGUGCUGCACCGCACCGGCCUGACCCAGCUAUCAGGAGAGCAAGGACAGCAGAGGGGAGGAAAGCACUGCCCGCACAGGGCACAGUGCUCUGCAGCAGCUGUGUGCCAUCGCGGACGCCUGGCUGCACAUCCCACUGGUAAUCCCUCAGAGCCAGAGUAGAAGACAGGAAAAAGAGAGGCAUGGAGAGAAAAGGAGGGAGGAGAAAGGAAGGGAAAAUGAAACGUCAGCUGCUGCAAACUCACCCAGUUCCUCCCCCAUGAAGCAAGCUGUGUGGGGGCACAGGUAUCAACAUGUGGGUUUUUAGCAGCAAGAGGAAAGGAAACUUUCUAUUGCCACCUAAUGCAAGGCUGAAGAUAAGGAAAAAUAAAAAACACCUUUACAUCCA
This 414-nucleotide long non-coding RNA is filed under the name Coturnix japonica (Japanese quail). Its description in RNAcentral is "lncRNA (ENSCJPG00005012553.1)". The record is from RNAcentral. Lineage: Eukaryota; Metazoa; Chordata; Aves; Galliformes; Phasianidae.